CGUAGGUGGCAAGCGUUGUCCGGAAUUAUUGGGCGUAAAGCGCGCGCAGGCGGUCACUUAAGUCCAUCUUAGAAGUGCGGGGCUUAACCCCGUGAUGGGAUGGAAACUGGGAGACUGGAGUAUCGGAGAGGAAAGUGGAAUUCCUAGUGUAGCGGUGAAAUGCGUAGAUAUUAGGAAGAACACCGGUGGCGAAAGGCGACUUUCUGGACGAAAACUAGACGCGUGAGGCGCGAAAGACGUGGGGAGCAAACAGGAUU
This 257-nucleotide ribosomal RNA is filed under the name uncultured bacterium. Its description in RNAcentral is "partial 16S ribosomal RNA". It matches the Rfam family "Bacterial small subunit ribosomal RNA", at positions 526 to 779 of the family's 1533-position model. The record is from RNAcentral.